AUUGAACGCUGGCGGCAUGCUUUACACAUGCAAGUCGAACGGUAACAGGGUGCUUGCACCGCUGACGAGUGGCGUACGGGUGAGUAAUGCGUCGGAACGUGCCGAGUAGUGGGGGAUAACGCAGCGAAAGUUGUGCUAAUACCGCAUACGUACUGAGGUAGAAAGUGGGGGACCUUCGGGCCUCACGCUAUUCGAGCGGCCGACGUCUGAUUAGCUAGUAGGUGAGGUAAAGGCUCACCUAGGCGACGAUCAGUAGCGGGUCUGAGAGGAUGAUCCGCCACACUGGGACUGAGACACGGCCCAGACUCCUACGGGAGGCAGCAGUGGGGAAUUUUGGACAAUGGGCGAAAGCCUGAUCCAGCCAUGCCGCGUGUCUGAAGAAGGCCUUCGGGUUGUAAAGGACUUUUGUCAGGGAGGAAAUCCCUAGUGCUAAUAACACUGGGGGAUGACAGUACCUGAAGAAUAAGCACCGGCUGACUACGUGCCAGCAGCCGCAGUAA
Molecule: ribosomal RNA, 500 nt
Filed under: uncultured bacterium
Lineage: Bacteria
Description: partial 16S ribosomal RNA
Rfam family: Bacterial small subunit ribosomal RNA
Source: RNAcentral